Molecule: ribosomal RNA, 460 nt
Filed under: uncultured bacterium
Lineage: Bacteria
Description: partial 16S ribosomal RNA
Rfam family: Bacterial small subunit ribosomal RNA
Source: RNAcentral
CCUACGGGUGGCAGCAGUGAGGAAUAUUGGUCAAUGGCCGGAAGCCUGAACCAGCCAAGCCGCGUGAGGGAUGAAUGCCCUACGCGUUGCAAACCUCUUUUAUCGAGGGAUAAAGUGCCGCACGCGUCCCUUUUUGUAUGUACUUUAUGAAUAAGCAUCGGCUAACUCCGUGCCAGCAGCCGCGGUAAUACGGAGGAUGCGAGCGUUAUCCGGAUUUAUUGGGUUUAAAGGGUGCGUAGGCGGGCUGUUAAGUCAGGUGUGAAAGUUUGGGGCUCAACCGUACAAGUGCAGUUGAAACUGGCAGCCUUGAGUGCAGUUGAGGUAGGCGGAAUUCGUGGUGUAGCGGUGAAAUGCUUAGAUAUCGCGAAGAACUCCGAUUGCGAAGGCAGCGUGCUAAGCUGCCACUGACAUUGAUGCUCGAAAGUGUGGGGAUCAAACAGGAUUAGAUACCCCAGUAGUC